Brassica rapa (field mustard) is the source of this 3226-nucleotide long non-coding RNA. RefSeq lists it as uncharacterized. The record is from RefSeq and is a predicted model, not a curated record. NCBI's taxonomy places the organism in Eukaryota, Viridiplantae, Streptophyta, Magnoliopsida, Brassicales, Brassicaceae.
UAACAAAUGUUACUAUUUUUCCAAAUUUUUUUUGUUUGUAAAACUAUUUAUUAAAAUUAUUUUCAUAAAUAUUAAAGGGUAUUAUAGGAAAAUAUGACACAAAAUAUAGAUUAGUCUAAAGGGACAUAGUUACUAUUUUUUUGCUCUAAAAAAACAGUUUUCCCAAAUUUAAAAGGCUCUUCUUAUGUUGACUUCAUGUUCGUAAGACUUGCUAUUUUACAUAAUUAGUCAUUGGUAACGAAAAAAAGGUUUUUCUGCCUAAAAUGAAUCUGCAUAAGUGGAUUAUUGCAUUUAGUUCACAUUAUAACAUUUAUAAUCAACAUAUACGAGAUGUGUAUAUUCGAUCAGAUCUCAUAAAAAAGCAUUGUUUAAAAAAAUGUCCUCCCAAGAUUAAGAUAUUUUGGAGCAUAUACUGAUUGGUUAGCACCUGAAGUCCAAAAUACAAAUUGUUCAAGCUACGAUUUAGCUUUACUCAAAAACAAUUGAUGAAUCAAAUAUAUACGAAUAGCAGAUAUAGAACUUCAAUUGGUUUCACAUGUUGCACAGUACCAUUGGAUCUAACAAUUAGAGAUCUACAACAUAAUCUGGAUAAUCUUUUUGAGAAGACAUGUAAGAAUACGCAAGAGCCGGGACUUUGUUGCUUUUAAGAACAAAAGACCCGACUUGGAUUCACCCAUGGAGGAAACAAUAUUAUUGAUUCAAUCUAACGCAUCUCUAGUUAGAUUUCCACGAACUCAGAAAUUCAAUUUCAUCCUCCCGUUCACCCCAUAUCCUUCAAUGAAACCACAGAAUAAGUUACUUCGGAAUGAAAUCGAACAGAACCAGAGAGAAAGACAUAAUCAAUACCUGUAGAUCUUCCAACCAUGGCUUCAAAACAAAAAUCACCGAGCCAAAGUCCUUCCCAAUCAUGGAAGCCGAAGAUGUCUCCAAAUAGGAUUGUGGAAAUGAUUUUUAUACAUUCGCGGAGACUGGAGAGAAAUCAUCAAUAAAUGAAAGGAUUAGUGGUAAAAAUCUGAAACGUUGAAGACGCGUUUUCGGAGACGGUGUGAUCUGAAGAGGCAUGGCCAUCUCCAACAUCGAGAAGGAAUAACAUGACGAUGUGGCUUCUCUAUUGAGUAUAUUCACCUUUUAGUAUUGUUAGAUACUGUUUUCUUCUCUCUUGUGCAGCCAUCUCAGCAGACAGGUCAGAAAGUCGUGCUCUAUGACGUUGACAUGUGUCCGGUUGGUUCAAAACGCUGCACUUCAUUUAGUUUGAAAAUCCGAUGAGCUUUUAACUGAGCUUCUCAUAGAUCUCUGAAACGGUUCGAAUUUGAGGUCUUCAAUGCGUUGGUGUGUUUUCAGGAGCUGCCUCCGCCUGAUUAAAGUGGAAGGCUAUAUUUGGUAUCGGAAUAGUUGGGUAUGGCAAGCUUACGGCACUGAUGCGCAGCAAUGCGGCGGUGAUGCUUAACGCAUGUUAGAUGCGUGUCCUGGUGAUGUGGACUCAAGAAGAUCAUUCAUCAAACGUGGAAGGUUUCUGGAUGCAUCUCCAAUUUGGGCUGUAUUUUGUUUAAAUUUUUUGGGCUUCUCCUUUAUUGUAAAUUCAAAAUCUGAUACCAAAUGUGGUAACUCCCAAGAAUUAGUCUUCCCAAUAGGAUAGAAUCAAUGAAAAUUUAGUUGACAAAAAAAUAAAAUAGUAAAUUCAUUUUAUACAAAACUAAAACAAUGUGUUGGCCAACAAAACGCUGUAAAGAGUAAAAACAAAAUAUAUAAAGAAUAUCUAUACUAUUAAAAGGGAAUCACUCCUAAAAAAUCUACUUAAACAAGGUUGUUGGACCAUUUUAUUAGACUUAACUAUUUAUUUGGUCUUAACUUAUAUUUCUCUAACUAUAUAAAUACUUUACAUAAUUUAUAUGAAUUCAUUUAUUAUUUUCUCAUAAUCUAUUAUAUAAUUACUCUAACAAUAAAUCUAUAUGAAUAUAUGAUAGAUUAUUCAAAUGUGAUCAUUACCACAUAUAAUUCUAUUAAUAGUAUAAAUUUUUAAUGAUUUAGUUAUGUUUAAUAGGUAUAUAAUUUAUAUUUUAAAAUUUUAAGUACUCAUUUGGUCCUUACUUUUGUUUCUAUUUUUUCUAUGCUCGAUUAUUUAUGAAAUUCAGCUUAAUUUUGAGUUUUUUUCCCAGUUUGGUACGGUUCAGUGCACUCAGUUAAAUGUACUCAAACCUAUAUAUUAUCUCUUAUAUAAAAGGAAUUUAUUUAAUUUCAAAAAUAAAUCCGCGCUUUCUAAGCACGGGUCAAAAUCUAGUAUGUAUAUUAAUCCAUUAUAUUUUGUUGCGUCUUUGGCAGAUACUAUUAAACUUACGAUAAAAUAAAUAAAACAAGAAAAAAUAGAUAAAUAUCUAUAAAAACCAUAUGAUACAAAAAAAAAUAACAAUUAGAACAUCCAUGUGGCCCGUCAAACAUGACGGCAUACCUCCAAAAAACACAUUAUUGUAGAACCCUUCAAACAAAUCUAAAUCUUUUUUGUCACUAUUUUUAAAACAAAUAAACUCUAUACUCCGAGCAAUGUAACUUAUUGUUUCAUCUACUAUGUAUUUAAAGUAGUAGAAUAAUUUUUAGAAUCUUAAAAAAUAUUAGUUUAUUUAAACAUAUAUUAUGCAUUUUAUUAAAUUAACUAUCAAAUUGAUUAAUAGUGUAUAAAAAUAAUUUUUUAUUAAGAAAAAAUACUACAAAAUUACCUAAAAUAAUUAAUAUAUAUGACAAUUAAUUAUGACGGUCAAGUUUGCGCCUGUUCCCACUUUCCAUGUGUUUGCGGAAAUAUGACGUGGUCUUGGCCUGAUUUAUGAAUGAACUGUUACAAAAAAAAAUGACAAUUAAUUAUUUUAUUAAUAAAGAUUUGAUAACAAUUUUGUAUUUUCCAUCCUUUUAGCUUAAUUUUAUAUUAUAAAAAUACUAUAUAAUAUGAAUUUAGUUUUUUUAUAUUUUAUAUUUGAAUUUUUUAAAAUGAAUAUAAAUUGCUAAAAUUAUUAAAAAAUCCUAUCUUGAAAAUAAUGUGAACAGUGAUUUACUAAAUCAACCGCGACUAUAAUUACAAGUUCAGACAAAAUAAAUAACUCCAAAGAUUAGAAAAAGAUCAACUUAAACUCGUCAACAACAAUAAAAAUAAACCCCAACAAUUGAGUUGUGCGUGGAAGCAUAUUUCAAAAUACAAAAAAAAAAAAAAAAAAUUGGUCUUUUCUUUUCAAAAUAAAAG